AGAUUGAGGGCGUAAACACAAAAGAGGAGGUCGCAUGGUACUGCGGCAAGCGUAUGGCCUACAUUUACAAGGCUAAGGUCAAAAAGAACGGAUCACAUUACAGAUGCAUCUGUGGAAAGGUCAAUAGGCCGCACGGUAACAGUGGAAUUAUCCGAGCGAAGUUCAAGUCCAACUUGCCUCCAAAAUCCAUGGGUUCUAGGGUUAGGUUUUUCAUGUACCCGAGCAAUUUAUAAGUUCUUUUUGUAUGUGUAGAAGACAUGUUUAAGACUAACGAGGAUCAUGAGGAUUUGGGAGUUUUCGCCUACCUGGAGCUAGAUUGGUUUUUGUAUUCUGGAGCUACAAUAGCUAGCUUUGUUUCUGUUUGGCUUUCAGAAAGAAGAAUAGAGCAUGCAUUUAUGAUUAUGUUUUUGUUUACUUUUAGAUAUGGUGUUCUUCACCAUUUGCUUGCCAAUUGGCACAACGUGUGAUCAGAACUUGGUGGAACUAAAUCAUAUCCGACCUCAGCUCGCAAGU
This is a long non-coding RNA of Telopea speciosissima, 513 nucleotides long. RefSeq lists it as uncharacterized. The record is from RefSeq and is a predicted model, not a curated record. NCBI's taxonomy places the organism in Eukaryota, Viridiplantae, Streptophyta, Magnoliopsida, Proteales, Proteaceae. The transcript is spliced from 3 exons.